UAGAUAGAUAGAUAGAUAGGCAGAUAGUAGAUAGUAGAUAAGUUGUUCACUGGUAGGUAGUCUCCAAAUCUCCAUGCUUAUGUUUCUUUAGAGGAAAACCCUUAAAACAAGGGUCACUAAAUAUUAUCUGGAAAAAAAAAACAGAUUUGUUCAGGUUUUGUGAGCUAAAAGAUCUUUAUUAUACUUAGCUCUGGCAUAGGAGUAUUCACGGAACCAGUACAAAAGUAAUAGGCAAACUAUGCUCUAAUAAAAUUUUAUUCAUGGACACUCAAAUCUGAAUUUCAGAUAAUGGUCAUAUACCAUGAAAUAAAACUUUUUUUCCUUCAGGCAUCAAAAAUUAUAAAGACUGUGCUUAGCUCCCCAAAAGUCCAACAACAGGUGGUGGGGCUGAUUUGGCCAAGGGACUAUAAUGUGUUAACCUUGGCUUCAAAGUAUUCGGAGAUCAUAUGUAUCACAUACACAUAGAAUGUUUCCCCAAAUUCUAAUCAUUUAAAUUAUCUCUUCAAAAUCCAUUUGAUUGUUUGUUUUUAAAAUGUGUAAAAAUACACGUGAAAUAGCCAUUAUAUCCUGAAACAAUUCAUCAUCUUUUGCUGUGUAAUUCCAGAAUUCUCUUACAGAAACAAGUCAUUUUGUCUGCAUGUGUCAUUUAUCUUUGUUGAGAAUUUUAGAACAGACUGUUUCUUUCUAUGGCCUAAAAAUCAUUUUCUAAGAAAAAUCUGUGCUUAUGAUAGACAGUUAUGAUUGAUAGUUAAUCGAGAUGACUUGAAGUACUCAGAAAAAUAGUGUUGUUUCCGUAUGACCUACAAGGAAAGGGGCCUUGUACCUGUGUGUGGUGAAGGUUUGAUACCCAGCCUUCUUUGUUUGCAGUCGUGACACAUCAUUCUCAAACUUCCUCUGAAUUCUGUGCUAACAACUGCCUUAAUUGAUAAAUAUGUGGUUGGAAAACAAAGUCACCUUUUGGUUUCUGUUUGCAAAUAACUUGGAAAUAUUGAGAAAAUCCUUAUAGACUGGAAGUACACUCCGAGGCUGAGCAAGAGCUCAGAGGAUUGUGGUUGACAGAAAAUAAUUUUAAAUUGGAAAUAAAGUGAAAUCAAGAACUGA
Nannospalax galili (Upper Galilee mountains blind mole rat) is the source of this 1101-nucleotide long non-coding RNA. RefSeq lists it as uncharacterized. NCBI's taxonomy places the organism in Eukaryota, Metazoa, Chordata, Mammalia, Rodentia, Spalacidae. The transcript has 2 exons. The record is from RefSeq and is a predicted model, not a curated record.